GAGAGCGCAGUACAACGGAGAGUUGUAUGCUGCGUUCGGGAAGGAUGCAUUGCGAAAAGGAAUCUAUUGAUUCUCUCCCAAUUGGUUGGACCGUAUGUGCAAUGAUUUACUUCAC
RNAcentral lists this non-coding RNA (115 nucleotides) under Cucumis melo (muskmelon). Lineage: Eukaryota; Viridiplantae; Streptophyta; Magnoliopsida; Cucurbitales; Cucurbitaceae. The record is from RNAcentral.